CCGAGUUUUCAACUCCCAAACCCUUAUGUGAACCUACCUAUCGUUGCUUCGGCGGACUCGCCCCAGCCGGACGCGGACUGGACCAGCGGCCGCCGGGGACCAUCAAACUCUUGUAUUAUCAGCAUCUUCUGAAUACGCCGCAAGGCAAAACAAAUAAAUUAAAACUUUCAACAACGGAUCUCUUGGCUCUGGCAUCGAUGAAGAACGCAGCGAAAUGCGAUAAGUAAUGUGAAUUGCAGAAUCCAGUGAAUCAUCGAAUCUUUGAACGCACAUUGCGCCCGCCAGCAUUCUGGCGGGCAUGCCUGUUCGAGCGUCAUUUCAACCCUCGACCUCCCUUUGGGGAAGUCGGCGUUGGGGACCGGCAGCACACCGCCGGCCCUGAAAUGGAGUGGCGGCCCGUCCGCGGCGACCUCUGCGUAGUAAACCAACUCGCACCGGAACCCCGACGUGGCCACGCCGUAAAACACCCAACUUCUGAACGUUGACCUCGAAUCAGGUAGGACUACCCGCUGAACUUAAGCAUAUCA
RNAcentral lists this ribosomal RNA (527 nucleotides) under Beauveria pseudobassiana. Its description in RNAcentral is "eukaryotic LSU rRNA". The stretch from base 163 to 316 matches the Rfam family "5.8S ribosomal RNA". The record is from RNAcentral. Lineage: Eukaryota; Fungi; Ascomycota; Sordariomycetes; Hypocreales; Cordycipitaceae.